RNAcentral lists this ribosomal RNA (403 nucleotides) under Micrococcus sp. NT-2012-B10. Its description in RNAcentral is "bacterial SSU rRNA". It matches the Rfam family "Bacterial small subunit ribosomal RNA", at positions 339 to 755 of the family's 1533-position model. Lineage: Bacteria; Bacillati; Actinomycetota; Actinomycetes; Micrococcales; Micrococcaceae. The record is from RNAcentral.
CUACGGGAGGCAGCAGUGGGGAAUAUUGCACAAUGGGCGCAAGCCUGAUGCAGCGACGCCGCGUGAGGGAUGACGGCCUUCGGGUUGUAAACCUCUUUCAGUAGGGAAGAAGCGAAAGUGACGGUACCUGCAGAAGAAGCACCGGCUAACUACGUGCCAGCAGCCGCGGUAAUACGUAGGGUGCGAGCGUUAUCCGGAAUUAUUGGGCGUAAAGAGCUCGUAGGCGGUUUGUCGCGUCUGUCGUGAAAGUCCGGGGCUUAACCCCGGAUCUGCGGUGGGUACGGGCAGACUAGAGUGCAGUAGGGGAGACUGGAAUUCCUGGUGUAGCGGUGGAAUGCGCAGAUAUCAGGAGGAACACCGAUGGCGAAGGCAGGUCUCUGGGCUGUAACUGACGCUGAGAGCG